RNAcentral lists this ribosomal RNA (484 nucleotides) under uncultured bacterium. RNAcentral describes it as "partial 16S ribosomal RNA". It matches the Rfam family "Bacterial small subunit ribosomal RNA", at positions 30 to 507 of the family's 1533-position model. The record is from RNAcentral.
AUUGAACGCUGGCGGCAGGCCUAAUACAUGCAAGUCGAGCGGAUGAAGGGAGCUUGCUCCUGGAUUCAGCGGCGGACGGGUGAGUAAUGCCUAGGAAUCUGCCUGGUAGUGGGGGAUAACGUCCGGAAACGGGCGCUAAUACCGCAUACGUCCUGAGGGAGAAAGUGGGGGAUCUUCGGACCUCACGCUAUCAGAUGAGCCUAGGUCGGAUUAGCUAGUUGGUGGGGUAAAGGCCUACCAAGGCGACGAUCCGUAACUGGUCUGAGAGGAUGAUCAGUCACACUGGAACUGAGACACGGUCCAGACUCCUACGGGAGGCAGCAGUGGGGAAUAUUGGACAAUGGGCGAAAGCCUGAUCCAGCCAUGCCGCGUGUGUGAAGAAGGUCUUCGGAUUGUAAAGCACUUUAAGUUGGGAGGAAGGGCAGUAAGUUAAUACCUUGCUGUUUUGACGUUACCAACAGAAUAAGCACUGGCUAACUUCGUG